AUUGAACGCUGGCGGCAGGCCUAACACAUGCAAGUCGAACGAGUGGCGGACGGGUGAGUAAUGUCUGGGAAACUGCCCGCUGGAGGGGGAUAACUACUGGAAACGGUAGCUAAUACCGCAUACCAUCGGAUGUGCCCAGAUGGGAUUAGCUAGUAGGUGGGGGAACGGCGCACAUAGGCGACGAUCCCUCGCUGGUCUGAGAGGAUGACCAGCCAAACUGGAACUGGGACACGGUCCAGACGCCGACGGGAGGCAGCAGGGGGGAAUAUGGCGAAAUGGGCGCAAGCCUGAUGCAGCAAGGCCGCGGGUAUGAAGAAGGCCUUCGGGUUGUAAAGGACGUUCAGCGAGGAGGCGUUACGCGCAGAAGAAGCACCGGCUAACUCCGUGCCAGCAGCCGCGGUAAUAC
RNAcentral lists this ribosomal RNA (406 nucleotides) under uncultured bacterium. Its description in RNAcentral is "partial 16S ribosomal RNA". It matches the Rfam family "Bacterial small subunit ribosomal RNA", at positions 29 to 526 of the family's 1533-position model. The record is from RNAcentral.